ACGAACGCUGGCGGCGUGCUUAACACAUGCAAGUCGAACGGAAAGGCCCUGCUUUUGUGGGGUGCUCGAGUGGCGAACGGGUGAGUAACACGUGAGUAACCUGCCCUUGACUUUGGGAUAACUUCAGGAAACUGGGGCUAAUACCGGAUAGGAGCUCCUGCUUCAUGGUGGGGGUUGGAAAGUUUCGGCGGUUGGGGAUGGACUCGCGGCUUAUCAGCUUGUUGGUGGGGUAGUGGCUUACCAAGGCUUUGACGGGUAGCCGGCCUGAGAGGGUGACCGGCCACAUUGGGACUGGGAUACGGCCCAGACUCCUACGGGAGGCAGCAGUGGGGAAUAUUGCACAAUGGGCGGAAGCCUGAUGCAGCAACGCCGCGUGCGGGAUGACGGCCUUCGGGUUGUAAACCGCUUUCGCCUGUGACGAAGCGUGAGUGACGGUAAUGGGUAAAGAAGCACCGGCUAACUACGUG
RNAcentral lists this ribosomal RNA (467 nucleotides) under uncultured bacterium. RNAcentral describes it as "partial 16S ribosomal RNA". It matches the Rfam family "Bacterial small subunit ribosomal RNA", at positions 29 to 507 of the family's 1533-position model. The record is from RNAcentral.